RNAcentral lists this ribosomal RNA (369 nucleotides) under uncultured organism. Its description in RNAcentral is "partial 16S ribosomal RNA". It matches the Rfam family "Bacterial small subunit ribosomal RNA", at positions 527 to 896 of the family's 1533-position model. The record is from RNAcentral.
GGAGGGUGCGAGCGUUAAUCGGAAUUACUGGGCGUAAAGGGUCCGUAGGCGGCUUGUUAAGUUGGAUGUGAAAGCCCCGGGCUUAACCUGGGAAUGUCAUCCAAAACUGAUGAGCUAGAGUACAGUAGAGGGCAGGGGAAUUUCCGGUGUAGCGGUGAAAUGCGUAGAUAUCGGAAGGAAUAUCGGUGGCGAAGGCGCCUGCCUGGACUGAUACUGACGCUGAGGGACGAAAGCGUGGGGAGCAAACAGAAUUAGAUACCCUGGUAGUCCACGCCGUAAACGAUGUCAACUAGCUGUUGUGUCGAUUAAGAGACAGUAGCGGAGCUAACGUAUUAAGUUGACCGCCUGGGGAGUACGGCCGCAAGGUUA